AUGGGGGUGCAAGUGGUGCCGAGGUGGAACUUUUGCAGCGAUCAUGGAGAGCCUCGGGGCUGCAUCUCGGCGAUCCAACGACAGGAAGCGGUCACGGUCUUGGCGACGGCGUACAACAGAGAGCGGAGAGGUGCUCAGGGAAACCGGAGCAGAGCAAGGUCCGAGGCGAGUUGGGGGGGAGGCGCUCCUGGUCGCAGCGGCGCGGCGCCGGAGCAUGGGCUCGUCGGCCGGAGCGGCACGCGGCCACGGAGGAGAGGGAGGACGCGGCGGCCAGAGGGGUUGCCAGCGCGAGCGUGCGAGGGGGCUGGCGGCGCGAGGUGGAGGAGAGGAGCGCUGGUCGUCGACGAGGACGACGAGGAGGUCCGGCGGUGCAUGAGAAGAGCAGCAGCAGAGCAGCUCGGGCGCAGAGGCUGCUGCUCGCCUGAGUUGAUGGCCAGCGCGGCGGCAUGGGAAGGAGGAGCGGGUGAGGAGGUGGCUGAGGCAUGGAGGAAAGAGGCAUGGGAGCAGGCGGGGCUUCGCGAGGAGGACGAGAGGGAGCGGGGGAAGGAGAGGCCGACGCAGUGGAGAUGGGGAUCGAGCAGGGCUCUCCCUGGUGCGAUGUGUGAGUGUGUGGCGGCGCGAGGGGACGAGGAGGAGGGGUGCAGGGAUCGCUAG
Molecule: ribosomal RNA, 654 nt
Filed under: Triticum aestivum (bread wheat)
Lineage: Eukaryota; Viridiplantae; Streptophyta; Magnoliopsida; Poales; Poaceae
Description: partial small subunit ribosomal RNA
Source: RNAcentral